RNAcentral lists this ribosomal RNA (433 nucleotides) under uncultured bacterium. RNAcentral describes it as "partial 16S ribosomal RNA". It matches the Rfam family "Bacterial small subunit ribosomal RNA", at positions 29 to 507 of the family's 1533-position model. The record is from RNAcentral.
AACGAACGCUGGCGGCAUGCCUAACACAUGCAAGUCGAACGAGACCUUCGGGUCUAGUGGCGCACGGGUGCGUAACGCGUGGGAACCUGCCCUUAGGUUCGGAAUAACUCCCCGAAAGGGGUGCUAAUACCGGAUAAUGUCUUCGGACCAAAGAUUUAUCGCCUUUGGUUGGGCCCGCGUUGGAUUAGCUAGUUGGUAGGGUAAAAGCCUACCAAGGCGACGAUCCAUAGCUGGUCUGAGAGGAUGAUCAGCCACACUGGGACUGAGACACGACCCAGACUCCUACGGGAGGCAGCAGUGGGGAAUAUUGGACAAUGGGCGAAAGCCUGAUCCAGCAAUGCCGCGUGAGUGAUGAAGGCCUUAGGGUUGUAAAGCUCUUUUACCCGGGAUGAUAAUGACAGUACCGGGAGAAUAAGCUCCGGCUAACUCCGUG